GACGAACGCUGGCGGCGUGCUUAACACAUGCAAGUCGAGCGGUAAGGCCCUUUCGGGGGUACGACGAGCGGCGAACGGGUGAGUAACACGUGGGUGACCUGCCCUUAGCUCUGGGAUAAGCCUGGGAAACUGGGUCUAAUACCGGAUACGACUCCAUGACGCAUGUUGUGGGGUGGAAAGCCUUGUGCGGCUAGGGAUGGGCCCGCGGCCUAUCAGCUUGUUGGUGGGGUGAUGGCCUACCAAGGCGACGACGGGUAGCCGGCCUGAGAGGGCGACCGGCCACACUGGGACUGAGACACGGCCCAGACUCCUACGGGAGGCAGCAGUGGGGAAUCUUGCGCAAUGGGCGAAAGCCUGACGCAGCGACGCCGCGUGAGGGAUGACGGCCUU
This 390-nucleotide ribosomal RNA is filed under the name uncultured bacterium. RNAcentral describes it as "bacterial SSU rRNA". It matches the Rfam family "Bacterial small subunit ribosomal RNA", at positions 28 to 418 of the family's 1533-position model. The record is from RNAcentral.